UGUGGUCUAAACAUCAAAAUCAACUCCUGCUUGAAAGAAAGGAGAAAUCCAUACGCCUGGCAGGGGAUGCAAGGUGUUGCUCACCUGGACACACAGCCAAGUAUGGAAGCUACACCUUGAUUGAUGUGGACACAAACCAUGUUUUGGACAUCCAGUUGGUACAGUCGAAUGAGGUGGCCAAUUCUAAUGCCAUGGAACUUGAGGGAUUAAAAAGGGGCCUUGCAUUUCUUCAGGCAGCCAGGGUGGAUGUUUCAGACAUCAUUACAGACAGGCACACGCAAAUUAAAGCCUACUUAAGGAAGGAGGAAGCUGGCAUUCACCACUGGUUUGAUGUAUGGCAUGUAGCUAAAGGCAUUUACAAGAAACUUCAAAAAAUCAGCAAAAAGAAAGGCCUGGAAAUAAUCAGCUUGUGGGCACAUUCCAUUUCCAAUCACCUAUAUUGGUGUGCUGCAACCAGCAAGGGCAAUGC
Long non-coding RNA from Haliotis rufescens (red abalone), 469 nucleotides. RefSeq lists it as uncharacterized. NCBI's taxonomy places the organism in Eukaryota, Metazoa, Mollusca, Gastropoda, Lepetellida, Haliotidae. The record is from RefSeq and is a predicted model, not a curated record. The transcript is spliced from 4 exons.